GUACAUAAUAGAAAUAUGAACAUCAAUUUGUGUCGCAUUUUGUAAAUUAAUCGGUGUCUACAUUUCUUUUUUUUUUUUAUUAUUAUACUCAUAUAUUUACUUCCUUAUUUAUAUUUGUUUUUGGCUGUUUCAGUCCUCUGCAUACCUUCAAUUUUCUCAUCUUACUUUGUUUUGCCCCCCCUCCCUUUACUCCUUUAUGCAAAAAUCAAAGUAUAGUUAGUACUACUAAUUUUACUUACUAUCCUAAUGCAGUGGAUCGUCUUGACUCCAUAUGUGAUAUUAACGCACAAAUACAAAGAUACAAAGAAACUCAGCUAAAUACAGUCCACUCCUCUUAAAUGGAAGCUGCUCAGGACUGCUUUAAAAGCUUUCUGGGUUUUAUCGUGCAGAUAAAAAAAUUCAUUAACAAAGCAACAUAACGGCUGAAAUGCAGCUGGCGAUUCAUACCCAGUCCUAAAUGCGUGUAAUUGCAGAUUAUUGUGCAAAUCCUGUUGUGCAUCAGUCAGGAGUGGACUGUACACCUGCUACUGGUGCUCACAGUGUCCUGCCUGAGUGCCAGUAGUACUAAUAGCUCUGCUGAGUGCUGUGUUGUCUGCACUAUUUCUCUAAUCGUUCUUUCUCCUUUUUUCCUUUUACCUGUCCGUGGGUCUCGUCAUCCUGCGGUCCUCCCCCCACCCCCCUUCUGUCUUUCUCAAUGUGUCUCACCCCUUCUUUCCCUCUCUUCUUUAUCCACUAUUCGUCUUCUCCCGCUCUCUUCUGUCCUUGUCUCUUUCUAUCUCUAUACAGGACUCCAAACGUUUCCUCCAAUGGCAACCCUGGCUAUGAGAGCCUACCCUUGACUGACAGGCAGUCCCCACCCCCCUCUUACUCUCCCAGCAUGCUGACUGGUUACGGGGGAAGUCAAUCACACCCCAACCCCGCCCAUUCGAGGAACCUGUAUUCACGUUGAUUAUUAUUAUUUUUUGUUAGGAAAUGUAUAGAAAAAAAAUGUUUAGUUUUCUUAUGAAUGGACACUUUAAUGAAAUGAAAAAGAAACUAAUCUAAAUAAAAUGAAUGCUAGGUGUCAAAGUGCGUAACGUCAGUACCACUGAGUAUUAUCAUUAUUACUAGUAUUAUUAUUAUUAUUAAAAGCACUUAAAAGAUACAGCCGACAGUGAUUCUGCUGCUUGGUUAUGCUUUAAACCAAGUGUGCUUGGCCUAAAUUCCUCCCUCCCUUUUGUCCAAACUGUGUAAACUGUGGUGAGCCAAGUCAGAAUGGUAUUGACGUUACUACGUUGUAGUUUUAUAUUCUUAAAUGUAUCUGUACCACCACUUUAUUUUCGAGUUUUUAUAUAAAUAUUGUUGUAGAAAAGCACUGGCACGUAGCAACAAGACACAUUUUUUUCUGUGAAUGGUUAUGCAGUUCCUUCACUUGGUAUGAUUUUUUUUUUUAAAUUACUUUUUAUAGGUGGCGAUUCUGUAUUUUCCUCGUAUUACCUUAUGGUACUCUGUAUAUCUCUCACUGUCUGUAAUAUCUGAAUAAUCAUGAAUCUUUGCUCUUUAAAAAAAAAACAAACAAACAAAAAAAACUUGAGGGCUGCCGUGACUCUGUUUUAAUGACGGAACGGAGAACCGCCACUCAAUCUCUGAGGGUGGAGAACUAGAAAUCCCACGCCAUGACAGCAGGUACAUAGCAAUAUGAAUCUUGCUACUGGUGCUGCAGUAGCCCUACCAUAACUAGCAAUAAUAACUAUGUAUAGCGUUGGAUUUCUGAGAUCUCUCCAAGAAGUUUUUGUGUAUAUAUGGUACCAGUGUGAGAUUUCAUCGAAUCCCUCCCUCUCUGACCCCGUUAACCCUUGAAUUGAGUUUGUAUGGUUAUCAAUGCUCCUUUUGAAUGGCAUCCUUUUACACUCGAGAGUCUAAUAUAAAUAAAAAUAACUUCAAUAACC
Non-coding RNA from Neolamprologus brichardi, 1928 nucleotides. The record is from RefSeq and is a predicted model, not a curated record. NCBI's taxonomy places the organism in Eukaryota, Metazoa, Chordata, Actinopteri, Cichliformes, Cichlidae.